CCAAAAGCAUUUGGUGCAGAGAUUUUCUCAGACGUCUGUAACAACUCAUUAUCAAAGCUUCAAGAUCAGAAAGCAUGAGGGCAUCUACUUCGUGCCUGGUGUUCGGGCUGCUCCUGCUGAUGGCCUGGAUGUCUAAGGCUCAAUAGCAUGGUGAUCCUUGCACUGGGUCAGAAGCCAACUUUUGCAUGAAUGGAGGAAUAUGCUUUAAAAUACCAUCGGUUUCUACUCCCACAUGUGUCUGCAGUGCGAACUAUGAGGGCAGCCGAUGUGAGCAGUUUCAGCUGUUU
Labeo rohita (rohu) is the source of this 287-nucleotide long non-coding RNA. RefSeq lists it as uncharacterized. The record is from RefSeq and is a predicted model, not a curated record. The transcript is spliced from 3 exons. NCBI's taxonomy places the organism in Eukaryota, Metazoa, Chordata, Actinopteri, Cypriniformes, Cyprinidae.